UGGGGAAUAUUGCACAAUGGGCGCAAGCCUGAUGCAGCCAUGCCGCGUGUAUGAAGAAGGCCUUCGGGUUGUAAAGUACUUUCAGUCGGGAGGAAGGUGUCAAGGUUAAUAACCUUGGCAAUUGACGUUACCGACAGAAGAAGCACCGGCUAACUCCGUGCCAGCAGCCGCGGUAAUACGGAGGGUGCAAGCGUUAAUCGGAAUUACUGGGCGUAAAGCGCACGCAGGCGGUUGAUUGAGUCAGAUGUGAAAUCCCCGGGCUUAACCCGGGAAUUGCAUCUGAUAAUGGUCAGCUAGAGGCUUGUAGAGGGGGGUAGAAUUCCAUGUGUAGCGGUGAAAUGCGUAGAGAUGUGGAGGAAUACCGGUGGCGAAGGCGGCCCCCUGGACAAAGACUGACGCUCAGGUGCGAAAGCGUGGGGAGCAAACAGG
RNAcentral lists this ribosomal RNA (429 nucleotides) under Chloroflexota bacterium. RNAcentral describes it as "Chloroflexi bacterium partial 16S ribosomal RNA". It matches the Rfam family "Bacterial small subunit ribosomal RNA", at positions 355 to 776 of the family's 1533-position model. Lineage: Bacteria; Bacillati; Chloroflexota. The record is from RNAcentral.